UUUUUUUCUCAACACUGUCCGAGAGCAAUCAGCCUCCUGAAGAGAACUCACUUUCUUGUACCAUCUGAUAUUUGCCCUUUCCAAUUCCCUAUUUCCCUGCUAUAUUUUUCCCGACACUUCUGCUAUUUUCUCAUGAUGUUUUCAUGAGAAAACUUUUUUUUUUUUUUUUUGACAACAUUAAAGUUCUUUUUCACGUCAAGGAUCAACAGAGUUCCCAGGUAUCACUCCUGCUAAAAAUAGGGACAAACUGAUGCUAUGGAAGUGUUGUUAUUUUUUGUAGUCAGCGUGGAUCCAAUUGGGAAGAUUUCUUCAGCUUUGAAGUUCCAGAGUGACUCAUGAGUGUUAAGAUAACAGACAACUCAAAGGACAGGAGGAAUAAACCUGAACAGACAGGACAAGAUGUACAGAGAGAAAUUAAUUGGAAUAAAAUGCAGCACUUCUUUUCUUACAUCACUGCCUCUGUGGGGCUGCUGACACCACUAGACUGGAAGGAUUCUGCUCAGUCACUGAAGCCAACUAAUGGGAUUCUGCCUGCUGAAAUGAAGCAGAACAUCACUACCAACAGACAGACCGAAGAAGAUGAAAGCUUGCAAAGAAAACUUAUUGCCUCUGGAGGAAAUGCAGCAGCUCAAUUGCAGUAAUCUUCCUUGGUUUUGAAGCACACCCAGGCUGUGCUAUAUCUUCACAUCUUCAGGAUGGAAGCUGCUGCCCAUGGUACUGUGCAGAGGAAUCACAGGAGACUACAGUGCUCCACCUCUGCAGGAAGCAGGCAGCAGUUUCCAAAAGCCAUAAUGUCCUACAACACAGAAAGGUUUUUACUUGUGCUUUGGGUGAAUAUUCAGAGAAAAUAAACAUUCAUCACAGACCUUCAGACUCCAUCUGAUGCAAAUCAACACUUCCUGAAAAAUCAAACGGUCCAAAGCCUUUGACUUCCAGAUAAAUCAGCUCAGAGGCCAGCAGAUGAAUCAACUUACAUGCUCAGAUAAGUUUCUACCCCAAACAAUUUAUAGAGAGCUUAUGAAUAUAUUACUGUUUUCCAUAGUGUAUGGAACUGUUAGAAAUAAUUAACAUGUCUGUCUGAAUUUCUAUUUUUGGUUGCAUAGUGAAUGAAAAAUAGCAGACCUGAUGACAGAAUUACUGAAACAAGUAGGGAACCUAUCUUUCUGUGGUGCCUUGUUGCCUGUUUUGUUUAGUUACCUGGGGUUUAUACUUAGAUUUGACUAGGACGUAUUAAAUACCAGGAGGUAUUUAAAGAGCACCAGAACGGUUGUACAGUUUUGCAAUACUUUUCCAUGUCAAUUAAAACUUGUAACUGACUCUUGGUUUUCUUCCAUUUCUGUCCAAGACACAUCCAUUUUUGAUUGAUUUUGCUAUCUUCCUAAGCAUUCUCUUUUUGAUCUUUCUUUGUAGCUGACUGAAUACUAAUGUUUGAAUUGAUAUUCAUUCAUUACCUUCAUCUACUUGAUAUUGCCUUAUUUUCCUAUGGUUCUGUGAAGGAAUAGGUCCAGCCACACUACUGAUUUUUUCUGGAUAGGAGAGAAAGGUUUUCUAGUGCUUACUUGAGUCGAGCAGCAUUUUUUUUUUUUCCCACCUGAACAUUCCCAGUAGACCAGUCCACACAUAACCAAUGUGAUACUCAUCCAGUGAUGAGCAAUGUAAGAGAUUACUUCAAGAUGUGAAAUCAUGUUUGUUUAUGUUCUUCAGCUUCACGAAGUUUACAUUCUUUACUACUUUUACACAAAACUUUCUGCAAAAGUUCUAAAGUGUAUAUAAAAAUCCCUGAAAAAAUUCUGGCCUCCAGAAAGCCAGUGAGAGCCACAGAAAUAAAGAGUACUGUUCAC
This is a long non-coding RNA of Gallus gallus (chicken), 1841 nucleotides long. The record is from Ensembl. Lineage: Eukaryota; Metazoa; Chordata; Aves; Galliformes; Phasianidae.